This 230-nucleotide ribosomal RNA is filed under the name uncultured bacterium. RNAcentral describes it as "partial 16S ribosomal RNA". It matches the Rfam family "Bacterial small subunit ribosomal RNA", at positions 94 to 339 of the family's 1533-position model. The record is from RNAcentral.
AGUGGCGGACGGGUGAGUAACACGUAGGAACCUGCCCAGAAGUGGGGGAUAACUCCUCGAAAGAGGGGCUAAUACCGCAUACGGUCUACGGACCAAAGCAGCAAUGCGCUACUGGAGGGGCCUGCGGUGGAUUAGCUAGUUGGUGGGGUAAUGGCCUACCAAGGCAACGACGGGUAGCUGGUCUGAGAGGAUGGUCAGCCACACUGGGACUGAGACACGGCCCAGACUCC